Paramuricea clavata is the source of this 73-nucleotide non-coding RNA. Lineage: Eukaryota; Metazoa; Cnidaria; Anthozoa; Malacalcyonacea; Plexauridae. The record is from the annotation of a GenBank genome assembly.
GAUUCGGCGAAAUAUUACCCGAAGUGAUGCUCCCAAGGAAAAUAUCAUCACUGAGUGUAAUAUUUCGCCGAAU